Molecule: unclassified non-coding RNA, 202 nt
Filed under: Hevea brasiliensis (rubber tree)
Lineage: Eukaryota; Viridiplantae; Streptophyta; Magnoliopsida; Malpighiales; Euphorbiaceae
Source: RNAcentral
UGUGCUUCUGAUUGUACAUAUCUAAGCAUCUUUCACAUCUGCAGAGGAUAUCCCUCCAAUUUUUGGAAAGAAACAGCGAUUUAUUUUCCAAAACAGGCAGAGUAGAUACUGUAUCAACUCCAAGAACACAAGUAGUCUGACGGUUGCCAUCUUUUGUGCUUUGAUUUGAACCUAUAUUCUUCUCAGAGCUCUCUCCAAUAAC